UGGCUCAGUGGUAGAGCGCUUGCCUUACAUGCAUGAGGCCCUGGGUUCAAUUCCUCAG
Molecule: non-coding RNA, 58 nt
Organism: Dipodomys ordii (Ord's kangaroo rat)
Lineage: Eukaryota; Metazoa; Chordata; Mammalia; Rodentia; Heteromyidae
Source: Rfam